This 405-nucleotide ribosomal RNA is filed under the name uncultured bacterium. RNAcentral describes it as "partial 16S ribosomal RNA". It matches the Rfam family "Bacterial small subunit ribosomal RNA", at positions 29 to 525 of the family's 1533-position model. The record is from RNAcentral.
AUUGAACGCUGGCGGCAGGCUUAACACAUGCAAGUCGAGCGAGCGGCGGACGGGUGAGUAAUGUCUGGGAAACUGCCUGAUGGAGGGGGAUAACUACUGGAAACGGUAGCUAAUACCGCAUACCAUCAGAUGUGCCCAGAUGGGAUUAGCUAGUAGGUGGGGUAAUGGCUCACCUAGGCGACGAUCCCUAGCUGGUCUGAGAGGAUGACCAGCCACAGUGGAACGGAGACACGGUCCAGACGCCUACGUGAGGCAGCAGGGGGGAAUAUGGCACAAUGGGCGAAAGCCUGAUGCAGCCAUGCCGCGUGUGAGAAGAAGGCCUUCGGGUUGUAAAGCACUUGCAGCGAGGAGGCGUGACUCGCAGAAGAAGCACCGGCGAACUCCGUGCAAGCAGCCGCGGUAAUG